GCAGCCGGGAAUGAGCGGAUGGCCGGGAUGGAAGCGACUGGGGUGAACCAGCCGGGUGAAGUCCCAGGGCCGCAGAGCUGCGCCGGGGAUCUGUCCUGGAAGAGCCUUCUCUUCUCCCUGGACACUUUAAGCGGCGGCGGCGGCCGGCGGCGAAAGGUGGCAGACCGGACAGCGAGCCUCCCCCUUCCCGAUGUGGCUCUGGCCGCCGGAGAACACAAGUGAGCAAGAAGUGCCAGGCCGGGCCAUCCCCUUCAGGAUUUUAUGCCAAUGCUAUGCCAAAAUCAUACCAUUUCUUCUUUCUCUGUGUGUGAUUUUCUGAGAACAUUUCCCCAUUCAUAUCCAGGAAGUACUCUCCGAGUAUCCUGAAAGGGAAGCAACCACUUCACUAAAAGAUAUUUGCCAUAAUUCUGCAAUUGGACAUUCCGGACACCAGAACAGUUUCCCAGAGAUUGGAAAUAUUGGAGUCUACACAAAAAUCGAUGUUCAUUUACAGGAAAAGCAUGCAUGCCGGGACUGAAGCAGUGACUUAUGCUAUGACAUAAUAUGUUUUUGACACAAAAAGUACUUGUCAAAAAUCAAGAUUCAAAAACAAUCAUUCUAAGUGUUUUCAGGGGAGCGAGGAAAACCUGGCUUUCAUGUCAAUAAUACAGCUGACAUAAAUAAUGAUGGAAAACUGACAGCUACCAGAUAUGAUUUACCAGUAGGUGCUUCAAAUUCCUAAAAAAUGAAAAGGGUACACCGACAACAGGAGAGGACUGGCUCAGAAAGGACAAGACUACAAAUCCUGCUAAACAGAAGACAUCUACAAGUUCCCCAUGAUGAGAGACAAGGAGGCUGGUUUGCAAAGGUCAAAGGAGGCAGAGGUAGCAAGCCUGGAGAAGCAGAAAGCCCAGGAGCUCAAAGAAGUCCUAAGAGCAGCACUGACGAGCUGUGUUAAAGACUCAAAUGGCAGCUGAAAACAAGUGUCUCUGAAUCCAGAGACGUUGAUUGUGGUUCCAAAACAGAUACUUUGAGAUUAAUUCAACUCCUGAUUAAAGCAAACAUAUAGAAUCUAGGAUGAAUUUAUAGGCUCAAUGGCAAAUAAUAACAAUUAACAAUAGCCAAUACUUACAUGGCAUCUAAUAAGUACUUAGCAUAAUUUAACCAACUCAGUCUUCACCAUAACUCUGUGAGGCAGAAACUAUUAUUAUUCUUUCUGUGGAGAUGAGAGAAAUUAGGUGCAGACAACCUGAGUAACUUGCCCAAGUCACCGAAGUGGUAGAGGUGGAGGUGAAGCCCGACGGUCUGUAGCCUUCAUCACUGCAUGCCACUCUCAUUCCCUUUCGGCUUCCCAUCUUCUUUCUUUAUUCUAUAUCCCCCUUUCCCUAUUCCACCCCUUCACUCUGAUUUUCCCUUCCUAUACAUCACGAAUGUCAGCUUGGUCAUUUAUGGUGGAACCUGAGCAAAUGAUAGCAAAUAUAUGGAACUUACUCUGAUCCUCCUCCACCCAAUUAGCUUGAGUUGAAAUGAGGAAGGAUUUGAACUAGCCAGUUUGGCUGUGAGUAGAGUGUCAGCCCACAGGCUGAGGGGUCUUAAGUUAAAAUCUGA
Myotis davidii is the source of this 1587-nucleotide long non-coding RNA. RefSeq lists it as uncharacterized. The transcript has 5 exons. NCBI's taxonomy places the organism in Eukaryota, Metazoa, Chordata, Mammalia, Chiroptera, Vespertilionidae. The record is from RefSeq and is a predicted model, not a curated record.